GGAGAUUUUUGAUAUAACAGGACCAUAUCGAAUCGACUUUAAAUCUACUGAGAACCUCAUGAAAGCAGGUAUGAAGAUUUAAAGCCUCUGACUUCACCAACGCCAUCCUUGUCAAAGUGUUAUUGCAAAGACUAAAAACAAAGUAUAUUUCUGAAUUAGGCAAAAGAUCACAAUCCAUUUGUACAAUUCUAUCUGCAAUUCUAGCUGGGUAUCCACAUGAUCCCGAUACUCUCUGGAUGACUCGAAUUCACCACCAGGUCUGGCCAGUUUUCGGAAGACCAAAGUUUCUGGAGACGGGUGAGAAUUAAUUUCGUUGCAGAAGUUGUUUGAUUGGGAGAAAAGGAAAAAGGACAGAAUAGAAUGUGGAGAUCGUCUUCCGUGGCAUAGUUCAUUUUUUAAGCAGCAAAUUCCUCUAAUAUUGCGUGGUAUUUGCGUCAAACUAAAAUGAUUCUUAUUUGUUUUCUCAGGUUAAUACUGUGAGAAGGCAGGACUUUUAUCACCUCA
Molecule: non-coding RNA, 504 nt
Organism: Musa acuminata subsp. malaccensis (wild Malaysian banana)
Lineage: Eukaryota; Viridiplantae; Streptophyta; Magnoliopsida; Zingiberales; Musaceae
Source: RefSeq, a predicted model, not a curated record